RNAcentral lists this ribosomal RNA (246 nucleotides) under uncultured Eubacteriales bacterium. Its description in RNAcentral is "uncultured Clostridiales bacterium partial 16S ribosomal RNA". It matches the Rfam family "Bacterial small subunit ribosomal RNA", at positions 796 to 1041 of the family's 1533-position model. The record is from RNAcentral. Lineage: Bacteria; Bacillati; Bacillota; Clostridia; Eubacteriales.
CCAGCUGUAAACGAUGGAUACUAGGUGUGGGGGGAUCGACCCCCUCCGUGCCGCAGUUAACGCAAUAAGUAUCCCACCUGGGGAGUACGGCCGCAAGGCUGAAACUCAAAGGAAUUGACGGGGGCCCGCACAAGCGGUGGAGCAUGUGGUUUAAUUCGAUGCAACGCGAAGAACCUUACCGGGAUUUGACAUCUCCUGUUACCCUUUGAAAGAAGGGGUUCUCUUCGGAGACAGGAAGACAGGUGG